UGGCUGUCGUCAGCUCGUGUCGUGAGAUGUUGGUUAGUCCGCACGAGCGCAACCCUCGUCCUAUGUUGCCAGCGGGUCGAUGCCGGGGACGUCAUGGGAGGACUGCCGGGGUCGAACUCGGAGGAAGGUGGGGAGUGACGUCAAAUACAUCAUGCCCCUUACUGUCUUGGGCUUCACGCAUGCUACAAUGGCCGGUACAAAGGGCUGCGAUACCGCGAGGUGGAGCGAAUCCCAGAAAGCCGGUCUCAGUUCGGAUUGGGGUCUGCAACUCGACCCCAUGAAGUCGGAGUCGCUAGUAAUCGCAGAUCAGCAACGCUGCGGUGAAUACGUUCCCGGGCCUU
Molecule: ribosomal RNA, 341 nt
Filed under: uncultured Cellulomonas sp.
Lineage: Bacteria; Bacillati; Actinomycetota; Actinomycetes; Micrococcales; Cellulomonadaceae
Description: bacterial SSU rRNA
Rfam family: Bacterial small subunit ribosomal RNA
Source: RNAcentral